Molecule: long non-coding RNA, 3778 nt
Organism: Carassius auratus (goldfish)
Lineage: Eukaryota; Metazoa; Chordata; Actinopteri; Cypriniformes; Cyprinidae
Source: Ensembl
AUGAGUGAGGAGAGAUCUGAACUAACCACAUUAAAAAUGAUUCUCACAGAUCAAAUGAAGAAUAGAGGACUGGGAGCGUUUAAGAUCGAGCAUGUGUCUCAAACCCCAGCAAGACUCCUCGAGAUGAUGACUGGACAAACAGACGGAGACAGACGGAGACAGACGGAGAGCGCCGGACUCAGCUGGAGGGAGAUAAGGAUGUUCUCUGUUAUCGGUUCAGUUCCUCAUGAAAAGCCUCUGAUGGCUGACGGGAGCAGAACAGAAACGCUCAAACGGAUUUAAACCUGCAGAACGACACACCGGACACCUGCUCAAAGAGACUUUAAUCCGUUUCAUCAAGUGGACAAUCAAACCAAUCCUGUGCUUCAGAGCACCUCUUCAGACACCAGAGAAACUUAUACACAGAUACACAGACAGCAGGAGGAUGUGUCAACUCCUUAAAUAUGAUCUAACCCUGACAGAUUCAUCGUUAAGUGAGAGGCUAAUGAAGGUCAGAGGUCAGCUGCCUGCCAUUCCUGCCCUAGCACGAUGGAUCAAGUAUGAUGAUUAAUCUGUGUAAACCAACCCUUUCUGCAGUUAGCUGGAGGACAGGAGAAUUAAUAGUCUCCGCAUCUUGAAUAUAAAGUGAUUUCUGAAGCUGUGGGCCACAUCUGGACUCUGCAUUCAGAUAAAACGCCAUCAUUACGUUUCUCUGAAGCCUCACAGCACAGGUGAGAAUCUCUCAAUAUUCAGCUCAGUCUCUCUGAACAUAAACGUGAUUCACAGCCACAGUCCUCACAGGACGAUCAAAACAAGUCCAGCAGAACAUCCAGAGAGCUGAUUGCGUUUGGAAAUGGCUUCAACAAAAGUCUCUCUUUGGAAUCAGAUGGGCUCUUAGUUUGGACUCACUCCCAGUUCAGAAUAUAAACAGAGUUUUUCACAUUUAUUCACAAUCACAAGAGAAAAUGAGGCCUGCUUUGAAAGCCAAGGUUUUAAAGGACUCCUAUCAUGGAGAACAGGUUCUGAAAUACUCUGCAAUCAUGUAGAUGUCUUGUGGUGUUUGAUUGGGAAUCACGUACCUUCUUCUUCUGUCGAUUUCACUGAGUAAUAAAAGACAGUUUUACAUGCAACCUUAACCCUUUUAAUGCAUUCGGCUCUGUUUUGACCCAAAAGAGUGCACCAUCAAAAUGCACAUCAUUUAUUUAUUAGUAAAAUGAUCUUUCUGUGAGGUUUUAUUAGUGUCAGAAACUUUUCCUCAUAACCUCUCACACUUUUGAGACUGUAUUUUGUUGAUGAACAUUAAUAUGUUUCCUAUUGAUGAACCAUUUCUGCAGGAAAACUGUUUCAUUUAUGCUCUUUAUUAGAAAUAAAUAUGUAGGUUUCAUAAAUUUAGACCAUUUGUUAUUUAUUUAAACUCCAUUCACUCUAAUAGAACCAAAACUAUUUGUGUGUGUGUAUGUAUUUCUGAUUUCUGAAUGAUACAGCAUAAUCAACAAUAUUGACAAAAAAUAUUUUGCAUUAUAUUUUUUCUGGUGUGGUUUAUUUGUAACUUGCACUUUUAAAUAAUUUCUCAAGGUUUAGUUAAUAAAAAUGGGGUAAAUGCAGUAAUAUUUCAUUAAGGAGAAAUUGCUGAUCAGAUUAACUCAAUAUUAAAAUGAUGACUGUUUAAUAGAAUAACGAUUCAUUGUAUCCAAACGGACGGAGAAUGUGAAAUCAGUACAGUGAUUCUGAGUGCAUUCUAAGGGUUAAUUCUGCUUGUGUGAAAUCACUAGUCAAACAGGAGUUAACUAGCAGAAGCUGGUCAAACUGAGCUGUUACCUUCAUGUUUUGGCCAAAGAUGAAUCUUCAUCGCACACUUUCAUCCACCCAAUGAGUAAAUUGAUAAAAGUUUAUGAUCAUAAGCCAUUAUCUCCAUGCAUUCUCAUUCAGACAGCAUCACAUCUGCAGGAUGAUGUUUCCGUGAUCGUAAGCACAUCCUCACCUACAAGCAUCAAUAAAUAAUCGCUUUAUUAGUCAAAAUCAUGCAGGUCUUUGAGUUCCCUUUACAGAUCACACACAGUUAUAUGCGCACAACUCUACACAGUACACUGAAGUCUGACAGGUUAUUUCCCAUGAGGAUUUUUUUGUUAUCAAAAUUCUUUACAUGAGUAAAAUUUCUCUCACAUAGUUGCGGCUGGUAUUUUUUUGUUUUCUUUUUUUAGCCCAUUUGUUGUUAUUGCAAUGAUUCACAUUGUUUCGUAUAGAACAAAUAAGAAAAGCAUCUGGUCUUCAUCAUGGCUAUGACGGAAAGUGCAGUGUUUUCCUGAAGGAUGGAGAUGUCAGGUGAUGCACCGGCGGUCUUUGCGUGACGUGCUCGUGUUUCUGCAGUUAUUAAGCGUGAGUUCAGCCCUCCGUCGCUGUAGGGUGUAGGGCGUAGGGUGGACUCCCUGAAUGGGUAUUGCUUCUGCGUCAAACUAAAUCUAGUGCGAAUGUGUUUUUCUCUAGUAGGGGAUGUAUUCUCAGCGAAGGUGAUAUACUGCGACAGGACAGAGACAGCUUAAAUGUUCUUAAACCUAGAAAACUGCACGUGUGAUAUAGAUCAGCUUGCGUUUUUACGUUUCAAAUGUUUUCCUUAAACUUGCAUAAUAAACAUGCAAUGAAAGAUUUUUUUGAUUAUAUAAAGAGCAACUCCGCUGUUGCAUGGGUGCAUUACCAAAAGAACGUAAAACAAAGCAGGAAACGGAUCGGCAGAGGAGAAUCGUCGAGUCCUGAGGGGUUCCAGCGCUCGCUCCGGCUCAUCUUCAGCUUGCAUAAGGCACCGGAUCCCGUCUAAAGAAGCGUCCUGCUCCCCUCCUCUUCAGUCAGAGUUCAGAGAUGAAAUGAAGAAGCGUCGGAUGGCAGGAAGUGUGGCUCUUCAGCUGCGGCUAGAAAUGUUGUACGUUCACUGUGUCGAAAGCAUUCCAGCUGAUAGAAUCACCACUUUAAGAGCCAUCAGUGUGUGUGUGUGUGUGUGUGUGUGUGUGUGUGUGUGUUUUAAUUGAGCUGGUCCUCGUAUUGUUUCCGGAAACAGUCUCCAGCAGGGAAGAAUUCCCAGCAUCGUUCCUGGUACAUUUUCCAAACGUACGACUCCUGAAAGACAAACAGGCUUGUGUUGAACAGGAGAUGACCAACACAUGAGAAGUAAUGAGAGAGGAUGAUGGGAAAUACCUGGCCUGUGUGCUCCGUUUCAUCCUUGUUGAUGAGAUACAUGAAGAAAAAUCUGCAAACACACACACACACACACACACACACACACUCAUCACUCAUGCAAGCCUACAGUAAUUAAAUAUAUUAAAAUAACACAAUUAUCCUUUAUACAUUAUAAGAAUGAUUUCUGUCAGCAGUGCUCAUGUUUUCUGUCGACUGAAGGCUGGUCUGACGCUGUGUUGAUCGUGUGUCUCAUUAGUUUGUUAGUCUUUGACUCUCUGCAGGUAGAUCACCUGAGGACAGACUCAUUAAAGCUGCAUGUGUGGAUGCAGGACUCACAGAUAGUUGGCCAGGUUGUGUUCCUGCAGCGUGUGUGUCUCGAAGCCGUGAGGAACCGUGUCGAAGUAGUCGUUUCCAAUCCCACAGAUGAAGCACUUCGUCUGCAGGAGAGAAACAUGUGUGUGCUGAAUCAAACACACACACACACACACACACACACACACAGACUUCACAUCAAGGGUUCAGCGUGUGUCUCACCUCCAUGUCUUCUUUCACCUGCUCUUGCUGGUCUCUCAGCUCUCCGAACGCAUCGAUGAUCAGACCUGAAACACACACACACAGGGGUGAGAUACAG